UACGGAGGGUGCAAGCGUUAUCCGGAUUUACUGGGUUUAAAGGGUGCGUAGGCGGGCAGGUAAGUCAGUGGUGAAAUCUCCGGGCUUAACCCGGAAACUGCCGUUGAUACUAUCUGUCUUGAAUAUCGUGGAGGUAAGCGGAAUAUGUCAUGUAGCGGUGAAAUGCUUAGAUAUGACAUAGAACACCAAUUGCGAAGGCAGCUUACUACCCGAAUAUUGACACUGAGGCACGAAAGCGUGGGGAUCAAACAGG
RNAcentral lists this ribosomal RNA (253 nucleotides) under uncultured bacterium. RNAcentral's name for it is "partial 16S ribosomal RNA". It matches the Rfam family "Bacterial small subunit ribosomal RNA", at positions 524 to 776 of the family's 1533-position model. The record is from RNAcentral.